Molecule: ribosomal RNA, 1084 nt
Filed under: Nicotiana attenuata
Lineage: Eukaryota; Viridiplantae; Streptophyta; Magnoliopsida; Solanales; Solanaceae
Description: Eukaryotic small subunit ribosomal RNA
Rfam family: Eukaryotic small subunit ribosomal RNA
Source: Rfam by way of RNAcentral
UACCUGGUUGGUCGUGCCAGUAGUCAUAUGCUUGUCUCAAAGAUUAAGCUAUGCAUGUGUAAGUAUGACCAAAUUCAGAAUGUGAAACUGCGAAUGGCUCAUUAAAUACGUUAUAGAUUGUUUGCUGGUAUCUACUACUCGGAUAACCGUAGUAAUUCUAGAGCUAAUACGUGCAACAAACCUGACUUCUGGAAGGGUUGCAUUUAUUAGAUAAAAGGUCGACGCGGGCUCUGCCUGUUGCUGCGAUGAUUCAUGAUAAAUCGACGGAUCGUACGGCCAUUGUGGCGGCGACGCAUCAUUCAAAUUUCUGCCCUUUCAACUUUCGAUGGUAGGAUAAUGGCCUACUAUUAGACCCUAACUCUCUUUCAUCGGGCGUGGCACGCCUAUGGCAAGAAUUUGGGUGUGAUUGCCUUGUCAUUGGCCUAUGUGCGUGCGAAACGAUCAUGCGGACGAUGGACAAGAUAUUGUCAUUGAGGGCUGUUGUGGGCAAGUAUUGGCCAAGGCCUUGGGACAGGCAAGGCGCGCUUUUCAAAGGCUUGACAAAGCAGCGUGGGCAAUGUUAGGGCGGCAUGGCACGACAUGCACGCCAAAGUCAGUGGAACGACACUUUGGGUUGUGGCAGCUAAGUGCGGGCUAAGCUAAGGCAAGGCGAAAAUGCGGGAUGAUGGCAAAGGCUUUCAAUAGCUAAGGCAAGGCUUGUGAAGGAAAAUACAAGCAAUGGCACGAGGGAAAUGAAGGUUGACAUGGACAAGGCAGAAACUAAGCCAAGGCAGUGCGCGGGCGGCAGCGACGUCGGGCGUGUGUGGCCAAAUCAUGGCAGCAGGUUGCGGGCAAGUCAUUGGCGCAGAGCAAUGUCAAAUUGAGCUAAGGCUUGGCACAAAGCAAGCCUUAGGCGUGAUUCAGCUGGCCAAGUGAAGAUGGCACAUGCAAUGCACAUGAAAAGCAGUUUUGGUGGUUACCUUGUCAGUAACCUCUUUGUCCCAUGACUGNCGCGACGUCGCGAGAAGUCCAUUGAACCUUAUCAUUUAGAGGAAGGAGAAGUCGUAACAAGGUUUCCGUAGGUGAACCUGCGGAAGGAUCAUUG